This is a long non-coding RNA of Hevea brasiliensis (rubber tree), 1445 nucleotides long. RefSeq lists it as uncharacterized. The record is from RefSeq and is a predicted model, not a curated record. The transcript is spliced from 2 exons. NCBI's taxonomy places the organism in Eukaryota, Viridiplantae, Streptophyta, Magnoliopsida, Malpighiales, Euphorbiaceae.
UCUCUCUCUCUCUCUUCUGCAUGCAUUCUAUACCUUAUUUAUCUAUGGGUGACGUAUUAAUGCAUAUAUUAUAUGCCUUACACAACAGAUCAUGUGCCUUAAACUGUGUCUAAGGAGUUACCACAAAGAAUAUGCUCAUCUUUAGCCUUAGGGUGUGUUGAUUGUGAAAUUAAUUUUAAGGAUUUGGAUUUAAGCUUUGCUUAAAGUUUCUAUGUAUCUUUUCUUGAAAAUGGAGAUGUAAUUCAUAAUUGUGAUGGGAGAAUGUUUAAUUUUAUUUUGGAUGGAAGAUUGAAGCUUUAAAAGAAAAUAAGAAGAAAUGAAAAAGGAAAGAAGAAGAAGAUGAAAAAGAAGAGAGGGGUAGAGAUCGUUACCUAUAGCUUUUCGCUCAAUUUCUCAGUAAUCAAAUUACUAAGCAAAGUUGAGUCACUAAAUCUGCAGAAAAUCUGGAAAUUUGUAAAAUGACCAUAUAAACAGUAAAAUUUGCAAGGUUAUAACUCUCUCUAGAAAACUCUAAUUUAGGUGAUUCUUGAACCGAUAGAAACUUAAAACAUAAUACAAUAUUUCGUAUGAACAACUUGAAGCCUAAUUUCGAACUUAACCCAACCAAAUUGCUGAGUAAAGUUGAGUUAAUAAAUCUAUCAGAGCAGUGAACACUAACGUAAAUAGUAAAUUUUAAACAGCCAUAACUCUCUAUAGAACUCUUCGAUUUAGGUGAUUCUUGAACCAAUGAAAAUUUAAAAUAUAGUAGAAAAUUUCAUAUGAAGAACUUGGAGCCAAAUUAUGAACUUAACCCAAUCAAAUUGUUAGCCAAAGUUAAGUCACCAAAGCUACCACAAUCAGCCUCACGUGAAUAGUAAAAUUCAUUUGACUAUAAUUUUGGCUACACAACUUCAAAUGAGGUGAUUUAAAAAGAGAAAUAAAGAUGAGACCUAGAGGGACAAUUGUCAUGAAGGACUCCUCAUCAACGUAUGAUUGAAACUAGGUAAAAAUUGGGUUCAAAGUUUAAUGUACUAGGUUGCCAGAAAAUCAAAACUCUUUGAAAUUUGCAAAGCUAACUUGGGAUGCAUUAGACAUUCAUGUAAUGAGUUUUUGGCAGCAAUUGAGAUGAGUGUUGAGGUAUUCUAUUUGCAUAUUUUCAGUAGAGAAGGAGGUUAGGACGAACAAUGAGAAGUAAGUAAAGAUAAAGGAGUUCAUUGAAGCUAAGGAAAAGGAGAAGGCUGUCGAGUGAGAGACUUGGAAGCAUCAUUUUGGUAUUGAUUGUGGGUAUUUACGUUAGGUAUACCCUUGUGAUUCCUUUGGAUGUAUUUUGUACCUAUAUGUAUGGAUGUACGGACAUUGAGCAGUUUGUAUUAAAAAGCAUUUCAUUACUAAAGUAUUUUGAGUUUUUAACUAUUUAUAUUUUAUUUGAAAACUUAUGGAAAUGUAACUUUGCAAUAUUCAAUCUA